AUAGGACUCCCUUCUGUAAGGCUGCCACCACCAUUGACAGGAGUUCAUCCCAAAAGAAGUGGCUGCAGUUCUACUGAACUUGGGACAGCACCUUGGAUUUCGACGGAUCCUUGACUCCUGGCCUACAAUGAGGCUGCGCACGUUUACGGACCUUAGUUUCCUGACUAUCAUUAUACUGAACAUAGCUUGGACGGUGGCUGAAGAUGAACUGGCAACCCAACAGCCAGCUGCGAACCAAACUGAUGACUGCCUGACGACGAGUCAAAUGACACAAGAACCUGGAGGCAGGAUGCUUCAACG
Molecule: long non-coding RNA, 300 nt
Organism: Dermacentor silvarum
Lineage: Eukaryota; Metazoa; Arthropoda; Arachnida; Ixodida; Ixodidae
Exons: 5
Source: RefSeq, a predicted model, not a curated record